This 399-nucleotide ribosomal RNA is filed under the name uncultured bacterium. RNAcentral's name for it is "bacterial SSU rRNA". It matches the Rfam family "Bacterial small subunit ribosomal RNA", at positions 356 to 772 of the family's 1533-position model. The record is from RNAcentral.
GGGGAAUAUUGGACAAUGGGCGCAAGCCUGAUCCAGCAAUGCCGCGUGGGUGAAGAAGGUCUUCGGAUUGUAAAGCCCUUUUGGCAGGGACGAUGAUGACGGUACCUGCAGAAUAAGCCCCGGCUAACUUCGUGCCAGCAGCCGCGGUAAUACGAAGGGGGCUAGCGUUGCUCGGAAUGACUGGGCGUAAAGGGCGCGUAGGCGGUUGGUACAGUCAGAUGUGAAAUUCCUGGGCUUAACCUGGGGGCUGCAUUUGAUACGUGCUGGCUUGAGUGGGGAAGAGGGUCGUGGAAUUCCCAGUGUAGAGGUGAAAUUCGUAGAUAUUGGGAAGAACACCGGUGGCGAAGGCGGCGACCUGGUCCUUUACUGACGCUGAGGCGCGAAAGCGUGGGGAGCAAA